CCCUUAGACGUUCUGGGCCGCACGCGCGCUACACUGACCAGUGCAACAAGCAUCCGUCCUUGGCCGACAGGCCCGGGCAAUCUUUGAACGCUGGUCGUGAUGGGGAUAGACUUUUGCAAUUUUUGGUCUUCAACGAGGAAUUCCUAGUAAACGCAAGUCAUCAACUUGCAUUGAUUACGUCCCUGCCCUUUGUACACACCGCCCGUCGCACCUACCGAUUGAAUGGUCCGGUGAAAUCUCGGGACGGCGGCUUGGUCGCUCGCGUCCGACUGCUGAAACUUGAUUAAACCAUAUCAUUUAGAGGAAGGUGAAGUCGUAACA
This 321-nucleotide ribosomal RNA is filed under the name uncultured eukaryote. RNAcentral describes it as "partial 18S ribosomal RNA". It matches the Rfam family "Eukaryotic small subunit ribosomal RNA", at positions 1470 to 1796 of the family's 1831-position model. The record is from RNAcentral.